ACGAACGCUGGCGGCGUGCUUAACACAUGCAAGUCGAACGGAAAGGCCCUGCGUUUGUGGGGUGCUCGAGUGGCGAACGGGUGAGUAACACGUGAGUAACCUGCCCUUGACUUUGGGAUAACUUCAGGAAACUGGGGCUAAUACCGGAUAGGAGCUCCUGCUGCAUGGUGGGGGUUGGAAAGUUUCGGCGGUUGGGGUUGGACUCGCGGCUUAUCAGCUUGUUGGUGGGGUAGUGGCUUACCAAGGCUUUGACGGGUAGCCGGCCUGAGAGGGUGACCGGCCACAUUGGGACUGAGAUACGGCCCAGACUCCUACGGGAGGCAGCAGUGGGGAAUAUUGCACAAUGGGCGGAAGCCUGAUGCAGCAACGCCGCGUGCGGGAUGACGGCCUUCGGGUUGUAAACCGCUUUCGCCUGUGACGAAGCGUGAGUGACGGUAAUGGGUAAAGAAGCACCGGCUAACUACGUG
This 467-nucleotide ribosomal RNA is filed under the name uncultured bacterium. RNAcentral's name for it is "partial 16S ribosomal RNA". It matches the Rfam family "Bacterial small subunit ribosomal RNA", at positions 29 to 507 of the family's 1533-position model. The record is from RNAcentral.